UGCAGCAACGCCGCGUGAGGGAUGACGGCCUCUCGGGUUGUAAACCUCUUUUAGCAAGGAAGAAGCGAAAGUGACGGUACUUGCAGAAAAAGCGCCGGCUAACUACGUGCCAGCAGCCGCGGUAAUACGUAGGGCGCAAGCGUUAUCCGGAAUUAUUGGGCGUAAAGAGCUCGUAGGCGGUUUGUCGCGUCUGCUGUGAAAACUGGAGGCUCAACCUCCAGCCUGCAGUGGGUACGGGCAGACUAGAGUGCGGUAGGGGAGAUUGGAAUUCCUGGUGUAGCGGUGGAAUGCGCAGAUAUCAGGAGGAACACCGAUGGCGAAGGCAGAUCUCUGGGCCGUAACUGACGCUGAGGAGCGAAAGGGUGGGGAGCAAACAGGCUUAGAUACCCUGGUAGUCCACCCCGUAAACGUUGGGAACUAGUUGUGGGGACCAUUCCACGGUUUCCGUGACGCAGCUAACGCAUUAAGUUCCCCGCCUGGGGAGUACGGCCGCAAGGCUAAAACUCAAAGGAAUUGACGGGGACCCGCACAAGCGGCGGAGCAUGCGGAUUAAUUCGAUGCAACGCGAAGAACCUUACCAAGGCUUGACAUAUACGAGAACGCUGCAGAAAUGUAGAACUCUUUGGACA
RNAcentral lists this ribosomal RNA (629 nucleotides) under Microbacterium sp. Ri2Pt_4040. RNAcentral describes it as "bacterial SSU rRNA". It matches the Rfam family "Bacterial small subunit ribosomal RNA", at positions 387 to 1024 of the family's 1533-position model. Lineage: Bacteria; Bacillati; Actinomycetota; Actinomycetes; Micrococcales; Microbacteriaceae. The record is from RNAcentral.